AUUGAACGCUGGCGGCAGGCCUAACACAUGCAAGUCGAGCGGAUGAAGGGAGCUUGCGCCUGGAUUCAGCGGCGGACGGGUGAGUAAUGCCCAGGAAUCUGCCCGGUAGUGGGGGAUAACGUCCGGAAACGGGCGCUAAUACCGCAUACGUCCUGAGGGAGAAAGUGGGGGAUCUUCGGACAUCACGCUAUCAGAUGAGCCUAGGUCGGAUUAGCUAGUUGGUGGGGUAAAGGCAUACCAAGGCGACGAUCCGUAACUGGUCUGAGAGGCUGAUCAGUCACACUGGAACUGAGACACGGUCCAGACUCCUACGGGAGGCAGCAGUAGGGAAUCUUGCGCAAUGGGCGAAAGCCUGACCGAGCAAUGCCGCGUGAGUGAUGAAGGUCUUCGGAUCGUAAAGCACUGUUAGUAGGGAGGAAAAAAAGUAAGAGGAUAUGUUCCUGUUUUGACGGUACCUAAUGAAAAAGCCCCGGCUAACUACGUG
This 484-nucleotide ribosomal RNA is filed under the name uncultured bacterium. RNAcentral describes it as "partial 16S ribosomal RNA". It matches the Rfam family "Bacterial small subunit ribosomal RNA", at positions 30 to 507 of the family's 1533-position model. The record is from RNAcentral.